Molecule: ribosomal RNA, 408 nt
Filed under: uncultured bacterium
Lineage: Bacteria
Description: partial 16S ribosomal RNA
Rfam family: Bacterial small subunit ribosomal RNA
Source: RNAcentral
GACGAACGCUGGCGGCGUGCUUAACACAUGCAAGUCGAACGAAGUGGCGAACGGGUGAGUAACGCGUAAUCAACCUGCCCUUCAGAGGGGGACAACAGUUGGAAACGACUGCUAAUACCGCAUACUGAAGGAGGGGCUUGCGUCUGAUUAGCUAGUUGGAGGGGUAACGGCCUACCAAGGCGAUGAUCAGUAGCCGGUCUGAGAGGAGGAACGGCAACGAGGGGACUGGGACACGGCCCAGACUCCUUGGGGAGGAGGCAGUGGGGAAUCUUCCGGCAUGGACGAAAGUCUGACGAAGCAACGCCGGGGGAGUGAUGACGGCCUUCGGGUUGUAAAGCUCUGUUAAUCGGGACACGGUACCGGAAUGGAGAGCCACGGCUAACUACGUGCCAGCCGCCGCGGUAAUUC